Molecule: ribosomal RNA, 497 nt
Filed under: uncultured bacterium
Lineage: Bacteria
Description: partial 16S ribosomal RNA
Rfam family: Bacterial small subunit ribosomal RNA
Source: RNAcentral
GAUGAACGCUGGCGGCGUGCCUAAUACAUGCAAGUCGAGCGAACAGACGAGGAGCUUGCUCCUCUGACGUUAGCGGCGAACGGGUGAGUAACACGUGGAUAACCUACCUAUAAGACUGGGAUAACUUCGGGAAACCGGAGCUAAUACCGGAUAAUAUAUUGAACCGCAUGGUUCAAUAGUGAAAGACGGUUUUGCUGUCACUUAUAGAUGGAUCCGCGCCGCAUUAGCUAGUUGGUAAGGUAACGGCUUACCAAGGCAACGAUGCGUAGCCGACCUGAGAGGGUGAUCGGCCACACUGGAACGGAGACACGGUCAAGACUCCUACGGGAGGCAGCAGUAGGGAAUCUUCCGCAAUGGGCGAAAGCUUGACGGAGCAACGCGGCGUGAGUGAUGAAGGUCUUCGGAUCGUAAAACUCUGUUAUUAGGGAAGAACAAAUGUGUAAGUAACUAUGCACGUCUUGACGGUACCUAAUCAGAAAGCCACGGCUAACUACGUG